AACUCUAGGUUAAGAACUCCUGGACUACAAGACCUCCAAGAUAGCUUUAUGGCACCGUCACAUGUACUUCUCCUCCAUAUGGCUUCCUGUCAUCCUAGCAAAAGCUCCUUUUAGCUGAUGUUCUUCCCAGUGCUGACAACCCAGAAAUGCACUCUCAGACAUUUCCCAUCAUGGAAACUCCAGUUCUAGUCCAGGUUGAUCUGUCAAUGACAGCUCCAGGAGAGUAAGCAAUGAGUAGUACUCAAAAGCUCUCCAAAAAGUGUGUCAUGAUGAUUUUUAUUAUCAUAAUGGCUUUCCACUGACAGUGAUGUUGCUUGUACCAUGAGUACUUAAAAGCACAUGGAAAGUCUGAGAGAGGCAGUGGCUGAGAGAGGAUGUCAUGAAUCACUGAGCACAUGUGUUCUACAUGGGGACCAUUUCCAUUUCUGAAUAAAUGAUGUGAUAAUCUGAGAGAAAAUGUGCAGGAUAGAUUUUCAUAAACCAAACCCUAAAAGCUCAGUGAGAUCCCAGAACUCUUUUACAGGAGGCCAGAGAGACUUUCAGCACUUUGAAUGUUUGCAUCUGAAAGCUGCUGAGGGGUGUGGGACAAGAACUUUUUGCCCAAGCACAGUGGGAAAGACAAAAGAAAGAAGAAGGAAUUCCUGCUCUCUAAGAGCUUGCUCUCUUAUGGAGGAAGCAAAAAACAGACCUUCAAAGCUGAAAAUGAGAACAGAAAGUACCAGAAGCCAGAAAGGUUGGCCUAACAUCUUUGUUGUCAGCUGGGUACUCAGCCCAUUAAGAGACAUUCGAGUUCAGCUGGAGACAGGCAGCUUCAAAGACAACUGUUCUUACCUUCCAACUGGGAUUUGGUCAUGAGCUGCUGUAUCAGCACAGUCAAACCUAGUCACAGUCACACCUAGGCACAGCGCAUUUCUUCUCCUACCCCAAUUCAAUUCAACAAAUAGUUAUUAGUGCCCAUUACUGCAAGGCUCUGUGCUGGGUCCUGGGGAUAUAAAGUCAACAAAUAAAACUGUCCUUGCUUAAGAGAUAUGGCA
Molecule: long non-coding RNA, 1034 nt
Filed under: Monodelphis domestica (gray short-tailed opossum)
Lineage: Eukaryota; Metazoa; Chordata; Mammalia; Didelphimorphia; Didelphidae
Description: lncRNA (ENSMODG00000044845.1)
Source: RNAcentral